AAAAGAUGACAGGGCACACAUCACGUCGGAACCCUGGUCCCCAGGCAGUUGGUUCUGAACCAAACCUGACCCAGCUCACCUGCCUGGUGGGCCUGGACCCGGCACCAUAUUUUGUUGCUGUUUGCCCAGGUCUCCCUGCAGUGGACCCAAAAAAUUUCCCUGAAACUCGUGUCGCACUCUGCUGAAAGGCAUGAGGAGCCUGUGUCGACGUCUCUGGCCAGCACCAGCACUGCCCCUGAGGAAACUAGGGGGGCCCUCGGGACAGAGGGUGUUCUGUGUCCAGGAAGGUGAAGAGAUCCAGAGAGUGCAUUUCCCCGACUGUCCUUCCACAGCCCAGCGUGGGAUCUGUCCCAGCACAGAGCCCAGGUUGAAGUGUACCCGCAAUUUGAGAUUGGGUCACAUGUCCAAAGGAACUGGCUGGAGUACACAAAGCCCCUGGAGGAGCUGUCCGAGGCCCCUUCUCAAGGAGCACAGCCAGGCUUCCCUGCUGCCCAUGGGACAGGCCAGGAGACCAGCCAAGUUGCUGACUGGAGACAAGCAGACACUAGGGGUCCUGAAGGGACAGGAGAAGCCGCUCCUGCAUAUGCUGUUCCAGAGCAACAGGAGAGCCCAGCAGGCCUGCUGGGUCAGACAGACAAUGCCCAGGAUGCUGUAGGCGUCCUGGGCAUUCUGAGCUCACUAAACCCCUGAAUAGUCAGCCUGAAACUCCCCAGAUUCCAGCAGGAUGUCCCCAGGCUGCUGAGCUAAUACCAGCCCUGCUGGGGAAACCAGGCCAGGACCUUAAACUGUGGGACAACCUGCUGGGCACAAGCGAACACCACCUGUUUGCGGGGAGCCAGGCCCUAGCCAGGCCCCAGCAGGGCAGCUGGCAGUGGUGUGUUUACACCAGCCCCACUGUGGGAGACAGGUAUAGGCCAGGAUGCCUCAGGAGCUGCCCAGUGUGGGCAGUUCACACCCGCCCUUUCUGGGGAAGCCAAGACUGGUGCAGGAUCCCGAAGACUUCUUUGAGGAUUCUGA
This is a long non-coding RNA of Talpa occidentalis (Iberian mole), 1017 nucleotides long. RefSeq lists it as uncharacterized. NCBI's taxonomy places the organism in Eukaryota, Metazoa, Chordata, Mammalia, Eulipotyphla, Talpidae. The record is from RefSeq and is a predicted model, not a curated record. The transcript has 3 exons.